Acanthochromis polyacanthus (spiny chromis) is the source of this 664-nucleotide non-coding RNA. The record is from the annotation of a RefSeq genome assembly. Lineage: Eukaryota; Metazoa; Chordata; Actinopteri; Pomacentridae.
AAGGCUUCACUUGGACAGGAGGUCAGAGAGGAUCAGAAGCUCUCAUCUCUACAGCUUCAACAUUAACUAUGUUUGCUGUAGCUCUGCUGCUCCUGAUGGCAGCUGGAAACGGUGUGAAGUGUGAACAGCUGACUCAGCCACAAUCUGUGACUGUGCAGCCAGGUCAACGUCUCUCCAUCACCUGUCAGGUCUCUUAUUCUGUGAGCACCUACAAAACACAAUGGAUCAGACAACCUGCAGGAAAAGGACUGGAGUGGAUUGGUUAUGACACAACCUUUAAAGAUUCACUGAAGAACAAGUUCAGUGGCAUCGAAGAUUCUUCCAGCAACAGAGUGACUCUGAAUGGACAGAAUAUGCAGCCUGAAGACUCUGCUGUGUAUUACUGUGCCAGAGACACACAGUGACACAAAUGAUCAGUAGCCCUGAACAAAAACCCCUCAGUGUCUGAACACUUGUAACAUGAAGCCACCAGAGGAGGAGCCCUCAGACCAGGAAUGAAUUCAGACCAGUUCACUCAGUAAAACUCUCUUUGCUGUCAAUCUUUGCUCCAUUAGCAGCUCAGAGGACUUUCAAAAAACAAAAAUCUACUCUAAUAUUAUCUCAAAUAACAAAGUGAUCGUUCAAGGGGCCUCCAUCAGCAAAAAAUUAGUUUGUCAAUUUAUUG